RNAcentral lists this ribosomal RNA (2371 nucleotides) under Salmonella enterica. RNAcentral's name for it is "partial 23S ribosomal RNA". It matches the Rfam family "Bacterial large subunit ribosomal RNA", at positions 566 to 2836 of the family's 2925-position model. The record is from RNAcentral. Lineage: Bacteria; Pseudomonadati; Pseudomonadota; Gammaproteobacteria; Enterobacterales; Enterobacteriaceae.
GCAGAGGGGGCUUAGUGGUGGGGUGACUGCGUACCUUUUGUAUAAUGGGUCAGCGACUUAUAUUCUGUAGCAAGGUUAACCGAAUAGGGGAGCCGGAGGGAAACCGAGUCUUAAUUGGGCGUUAAGUUGCAGGGUAUAGACCCGAAACCCGGUGAUCUAGCCAUGGGCAGGUUGAAGGUUGGGUAACACUAACUGGAGGACCGAACCGACUAAUGUUGAAAAAUUAGCGGAUGACCUGUGGCUGGGGGUGAAAGGCCAAUCAAACCGGGAGAUAGCUGGUUCUCCCCGAAAGCUAUUUAGGUAGCGCCUCGUGAAUUCAUCUCCGGGGGUAGAGCACUGUUUCGGCUAGGGGGCCAUCCCGGCUUACCAACCCGAUGCAAACUGCGAAUACCGGAGAAUGUUAUCACGGGAGACACACGGCGGGUGCUAACGUCCGUCGUGAAGAGGGAAACAACCCAGACCGCCAGCUAAGGUCCCAAAGUCAUGGUUAAGUGGGAAACGAUGUGGGAAGGCCCAGACAGCCAGGAUGUUGGCUUAGAAGCAGCCAUCAUUUAAAGAAAGCGUAAUAGCUCACUGGUCGAGUCGGCCUGCGCGGAAGAUGUAACGGGGCUAAACCAUGCACCGAAGCUGCGGCAGCGAACGUAUCACCCAAGACAACUUUACGGAGUUGACGAUUGACGGAGCGAAGCGACGUCAAAGCGUUCAUUAAAGUCGAGUUGGCUUAGGGAUACGUUCGUUGGGUAGGGGAGCGUUCUGUAAGCCUGUGAAGGUGUGUCGUGAGGCAUGCUGGAGGUAUCAGAAGUGCGAAUGCUGACAUAAGUAACGAUAAAGCGGGUGAAAAGCCCGCUCGCCGGAAGACCAAGGGUUCCUGUCCAACGUUAAUCGGGGCAGGGUGAGUCGACCCCUAAGGCGAGGCCGAAAGGCGUAGUCGAUGGGAAACGGGUUAAUAUUCCCGUACUUGGUGUUACUGCGAAGGGGGGACGGAGAAGGCUAUGUUGGCCGGGCGACGGUUGUCCCGGUUUAAGCGUGUAGGUGUGUGUUCCAGGUAAAUCCGGUUCACUUUAACACUGAGGCGUGACGACGAGGCACUACGGUGCUGAAGCAACAAAUGCCCUGCUUCCAGGAAAAGCCUCUAAGCAUCAGGUAACAUCAAAUCGUACCCCAAACCGACACAGGUGGUCAGGUAGAGAAUACCAAGGCGCUUGAGAGAACUCGGGUGAAGGAACUAGGCAAAAUGGUGCCGUAACUUCGGGAGAAGGCACGCUGACACGUAGGUGAAGUGAUUUACUCAUGGAGCUGAAGUCAGUCGAAGAUACCAGCUGGCUGCAACUGUUUAUUAAAAACACAGCACUGUGCAAACACGAAAGUGGACGUAUACGGUGUGACGCCUGCCCGGUGCCGGAAGGUUAAUUGAUGGGGUCAGCGCAAGCGAAGCUCCUGAUCGAAGCCCCGGUAAACGGCGGCCGUAACUAUAACGGUCCUAAGGUAGCGAAAUUCCUUGUCGGGUAAGUUCCGACCUGCACGAAUGGCGUAAUGAUGGCCAGGCUGUCUCCACCCGAGACUCAGUGAAAUUGAACUCGCUGUGAAGAUGCAGUGUACCCGCGGCAAGACGGAAAGACCCCGUGAACCUUUACUAUAGCUUGACACUGAACAUUGAGCCUUGAUGUGUAGGAUAGGUGGGAGGCUUUGAAGUGUGGACGCCAGUCUGCAUGGAGCCGACCUUGAAAUACCACCCUUUAAUGUUUGAUGUUCUAACGUGGACCCGUAAUCCGGGUUGCGGACAGUGUCUGGUGGGUAGUUUGACUGGGGCGGUCUCCUCCUAAAGAGUAACGGAGGAGCACGAAGGUUGGCUAAUCCUGGUCGGACAUCAGGAGGUUAGUGCAAUGGCAUAAGCCAGCUUGACUGCGAGCGUGACGGCGCGAGCAGGUGCGAAAGCAGGUCAUAGUGAUCCGGUGGUUCUGAAUGGAAGGGCCAUCGCUCAACGGAUAAAAGGUACUCCGGGGAUAACAGGCUGAUACCGCCCAAGAGUUCAUAUCGACGGCGGUGUUUGGCACCUCGAUGUCGGCUCAUCACAUCCUGGGGCUGAAGUAGGUCCCAAGGGUAUGGCUGUUCGCCAUUUAAAGUGGUACGCGAGCUGGGUUUAGAACGUCGUGAGACAGUUCGGUCCCUAUCUGCCGUGGGCGCUGGAGAACUGAGGGGGGCUGCUCCUAGUACGAGAGGACCGGAGUGGACGCAUCACUGGUGUUCGGGUUGUCAUGCCAAUGGCACUGCCCGGUAGCUAAAUGCGGAAGAGAUAAGUGCUGAAAGCAUCUAAGCACGAAACUUGCCCCGAGAUGAGUUCUCCCUGAGACUUAGAGUCUCCUGAAGGAAC